Molecule: ribosomal RNA, 451 nt
Filed under: uncultured bacterium
Lineage: Bacteria
Description: partial 16S ribosomal RNA
Rfam family: Bacterial small subunit ribosomal RNA
Source: RNAcentral
GUGGGGAAUAUUGGACAAUGGGCGAAAGCCUGAUCCAGCCAUGCCGCGUGUGUGAAGAAGGCCUUUUGGUUGUAAAGCACUUUAAGCGAGGAGGAGGCUACCGAGAUUAAUACUCUUGGAUAGUGGACGUUACUCGCAGAAUAAGCACCGGCUAACUCUGUGCCAGCAGCCGCGGUAAUACAGAGGGUGCAAGCGUUAAUCGGAUUUACUGGGCGUAAAGCGCGCGUAGGUGGCCAAUUAAGUCAAAUGUGAAAUCCCCGAGCUUAACUUGGGAAUUGCAUUCGAUACUGGUUGGCUAGAGUAUGGGAGAGGAUGGUAGAAUUCCAGGUGUAGCGGUGAAAUGCGUAGAGAUCUGGAGGAAUACCGGUGGCGAAGGCAGCCAUCUGGCCUAAUACUGACACUGAGGUGCGAAAGCAUGGGGAGCAAACAGGAUUAGAUACCCCAGUAGUCC